This 1806-nucleotide ribosomal RNA is filed under the name Campylobacter jejuni. RNAcentral's name for it is "partial 23S ribosomal RNA". It matches the Rfam family "Bacterial large subunit ribosomal RNA", at positions 1 to 1811 of the family's 2925-position model. Lineage: Bacteria; Pseudomonadati; Campylobacterota; Epsilonproteobacteria; Campylobacterales; Campylobacteraceae. The record is from RNAcentral.
AGGUAAGCUACUAAGAGCGAAUGGUGGAUGCCUUGACUGGUAAAGGCGAUGAAGGACGUACUAGACUGCGAUAAGCUACGGGGAGCUGUCAAGAAGCUUUGAUCCGUAGAUUUCCGAAUGGGGCAACCCAAUGUAUAGAGAUAUACAUUACCUAUAUAGGAGCGAACGAGGGGAAUUGAAACAUCUUAGUACCCUCAGGAAAAGAAAUCAAUAGAGAUUGCGUCAGUAGCGGCGAGCGAAAGCGCAAGAGGGCAAACCCAGUGCUUGCACUGGGGGUUGUAGGACUGCAAUGUGCAAGAGGUAAGUUUAGCAGAACAUUCUGGAAAGUAUAACCAUAGAGGGUGAUAGUCCCGUAUGCGAAAAACAAACCUUAGCUAGCAGUAUCCUGAGUAGGGCGGGACACGAGGAAUCCUGUCUGAAUCCGGGUCGACCACGAUCCAACCCUAAAUACUAAUACCAGAUCGAUAGUGCACAAGUACCGUGAGGGAAAGGUGAAAAGAACUGAGGUGAUCAGAGUGAAAUAGAACCUGAAACCAUUUGCUUACAAUCAUUCAGAGCCCUAUGUAGCAAUACAGGGUGAUGGACUGCCUUUUGCAUAAUGAGCCUGCGAGUUGUGGUGUCUGGCAAGGUUAAGCAAACGCGAAGCCGUAGCGAAAGCGAGUCUGAAUAGGGCGCUUAGUCAGAUGCUGCAGACCCGAAACGAAGUGAUCUAUCCAUGAGCAAGUUGAAGCUAGUGUAAGAACUAGUGGAGGACUGAACCCAUAGGCGUUGAAAAGCCCCGGGAUGACUUGUGGAUAGGGGUGAAAGGCCAAUCAAACUUCGUGAUAGCUGGUUCUCUCCGAAAUAUAUUUAGGUAUAGCGUUGUGUCGUAAUAUAAGGGGGUAGAGCACUGAAUGGGCUAGGGCAUACACCAAUGUACCAAACCCUAUCAAACUCCGAAUACCUUAUAUGUAAUCACAGCAGUCAGGCGGCGAGUGAUAAAAUCCGUCGUCAAGAGGGAAACAACCCAGACUACCAGCUAAGGUCCCUAAGUCUUACUUAAGUGGAAAACGAUGUGAAGUUACUUAAACAACCAGGAGGUUGGCUUAGAAGCAGCCAUCCUUUAAAGAAAGCGUAAUAGCUCACUGGUCUAGUGAUUUUGCGCGGAAAAUAUAACGGGGCUAAAGUAAGUACCGAAGCUGUAGACUUAGUUUACUAAGUGGUAGGAGAGCGUUCUAUUUGCGUCGAAGGUAUACCGGUAAGGAGUGCUGGAGCGAAUAGAAGUGAGCAUGCAGGCAUGAGUAGCGAUAAUUAAUGUGAGAAUCAUUAACGCCGUAAACCCAAGGUUUCCUACGCGAUGCUCGUCAUCGUAGGGUUAGUCGGGUCCUAAGUCGAGUCCGAAAGGGGUAGACGAUGGCAAAUUGGUUAAUAUUCCAAUACCAACAUUAGUGUGCGAUGGAAGGACGCUUAGGGCUAAGGGGGCUAGCGGAUGGAAGUGCUAGUCUAAGGUCGUAGGAGGUUAUACAGGCAAAUCCGUAUAACAAUACUCCGAGAACUGAAAGGCUUUUUGAAGUCUUCGGAUGGAUAGAAGAACCCCUGAUGCCGUCGAGCCAAGAAAAGUUUCUAAGUUUAGCUAAUGUUGCCCGUACCGUAAACCGACACAGGUGGGUGGGAUGAGUAUUCUAAGGCGCGUGGAAGAACUCUCUUUAAGGAACUCUGCAAAAUAGCACCGUAUCUUCGGUAUAAGGUGUGGUUAGCUUUGUAUUAGGAUUUACUCCGAAAGCAAGGAAACUUACAACAAAGAGUCCCUCCCGACUGUUUACCAAA